Molecule: ribosomal RNA, 465 nt
Filed under: uncultured bacterium
Lineage: Bacteria
Description: partial 16S ribosomal RNA
Rfam family: Bacterial small subunit ribosomal RNA
Source: RNAcentral
CCUACGGGAGGCAGCAGUAGGGAAUUUUCGUCAAUGGGCGCAAGCCUGAACGAGCGAUGCCGCGUGAGUGAAGAAGGCCUUCGGGUCGUAAAGCUCUGUUGCGGGGGAAAAAAGACAGCAUCAGGAAAUGGGUGCUGACUGAUGGUGCCCCGCCAGAAAGUCACGGCUAACUACGUGCCAGCAGCCGCGGUAAUACGUAGGUGGCGAGCGGUAUCCGGAAUGAUUGGGCGUAAAGGCUGCGCCGGCGGUCCUGAAAGUAUGGAGUGAAACGGAUGAGCUCAACUCAUGCAUGGCUUUGGAAACUGGAGGACUGGAGAGCAGGAGAGGGGAGUGGAACUCCAUGUGUAGCGGUAAAAUGCGUAGAUAUAUGGAAGAACACCAGUGGCGAAGGCGGCCGCCUGGCUUGUUGCUGACGCUGAGGCACGAAAGCGUGGGGAGCAAAUAGGAUUAGAUACCCCUGUAGUC